Molecule: ribosomal RNA, 440 nt
Filed under: uncultured bacterium
Lineage: Bacteria
Description: partial 16S ribosomal RNA
Rfam family: Bacterial small subunit ribosomal RNA
Source: RNAcentral
CCUACGGGAGGCAGCAGUGGGGAAUAUUGCACAAUGGGGGGAACCCUGAUGCAGCGACGCCGCGUGAGUGAAGAAGUAUUUCGGUAUGUAAAGCUCUAUCAGCAGGGAAGAAAAUGACGGUACCUGAGUAAGAAGCCCCGGCUAACUACGUGCCAGCAGCCGCGGUAAUACGUAGGGGGCAAGCGUUAUCCGGAUUUACUGGGUGUAAAGGGAGCGUAGACGGCAGUGCAAGUCUGGAGUGAAAGGCGGGGGCUCAACCCCGGGACUGCUCUGGAAACUGUACGGCUGGAGUGCAGGAGGGGUAAGUGGAAUGCCUGGUGUAGCGGUGAAAUGCGUAGAUAUUAGGAAGAACACCGGUGGCGAAGGCGGCUUACUGGACUGUAACUGACGUUGAGGCUCGAAAGCGUGGGGAGCAAACAGGAUUAGAUACCCUAGUAGUC